GACGAACGCUGGCGGCGUGCUUAACACAUGCAAGUCGAACGGGCCUUGUCCCCUUUUUUUUUGGGGGUGGGGUUAGUGGCGAACGGGUGAGUAACACGGGAGUAACCUGCCCCUCACUUCUGGAUAACCGCUUGAAAGGGUGGCUAAUACGGGGUGUUCUGGCCUGCUCGCAUGGGUGGGUUUGGAAAGAUUCGACCGGUUUUGGUUGUUUUGGUGGGGGAUGGGCUCGCGGCCUAUCAGCUUGUUGGUGGGGUGAUGGCCUGCCAAGGCUUUGACGGGUGGCCGGCCUGUGAGGGUGGGCGGUCACGCUGGGACUGAGACACGGCCCAGACUCCUACGGGAGGCAGCAGUGGGGAAGAUUGCACAAUGGGCGCAAGCCUGAUGCAGCGACGCCGCGUGAGGGAUGGAGGCCUUCGGGUUGUGAACCUCUUUCGCCAGUGAAGAAGGUCCUGCUCUUUGUGGUGGGGUUGACGGUAGCUGGGUUAAUGAAGCGCCGGCUAACUACGUG
Molecule: ribosomal RNA, 508 nt
Filed under: uncultured bacterium
Lineage: Bacteria
Description: partial 16S ribosomal RNA
Rfam family: Bacterial small subunit ribosomal RNA
Source: RNAcentral